Penaeus vannamei (Pacific white shrimp) is the source of this 187-nucleotide non-coding RNA. The record is from RefSeq and is a predicted model, not a curated record. NCBI's taxonomy places the organism in Eukaryota, Metazoa, Arthropoda, Malacostraca, Decapoda, Penaeidae.
GGAGACCUGAAAGAUGCAUCAACACACAACUGCAGAGCAACCCAAGAGAUGGAUCAUUUUCUUUUGCAUAGACUAGUAGGGGAAGUGGAGAGCAGCAAGAGGGACAUAUGAAUUUCUAUUGAUAAUGCAGUGAGAAUUGUAUGAUGUAAAGGAAUUCAAGGAGUAAGAAUGAUAGAAUUACACAUUG